Molecule: long non-coding RNA, 229 nt
Filed under: Lathyrus oleraceus (garden pea)
Lineage: Eukaryota; Viridiplantae; Streptophyta; Magnoliopsida; Fabales; Fabaceae
Description: Pisum sativum (pea) long non-coding RNA (PSAT_LNC036395)
Source: RNAcentral
UUUUUUUCUUAUACCCCUUUUUUUCGAAUUUUUUUUUAUAAUGAUAAAUGGAUAAUAAUGAAGAACAAGAAUAUAGACAAUUUUUACCACAUUUCGGCCCUUUUUUUUGGAAUAUGCUCUGAUACCACUUGAUAUGCACCAACUUUUGAGACUUAUGCAUUUCCUUCAAAAUUCCUGAAACAACUUUGUUAACUUUUGGAAUAUUAAUUCUUUUGUGACUCAAAGGAAG